GGAUCCAGACUUUGAUUAUGGCUCAGGACGAACGCUGGCGGCGUGCUUAACACAUGCAAGUCGAACGAGAAUCUACUGAAAGAGUUUUCGGACGAUGGAAGUAGAGGAAAGUGGCGGACGGGUGAGUAACGCGUGAGGAACUUGCCUUGAAGAGGGGGACAGCAGUUGGAAACGACUGCUAAUACCGCAUGAAGCAUAGGGGUCGCAUGAUUCUUAUGCCAAAGAUUUAUCGCUUCAAGAUGGCCUCGCGUCUGAUUAGCUAGUUGGCGGGGUAACGGCCCACCAAGGCGACGAUCAGUAGCCGGACUGAGAGGUUGAACGGCUACAUUGGGACUGAGAUACGGCCCAGACUCCUACGGGAGGCAGCAGUGGGGAAUAUUGGGCAAUGGGCGCAAGCCUGACCCAGCAACGCCGCGUGAAGGAAGAAGGCUUUCGGGUUGUAAACUUCUUUUUAGAGGGAAGAGCAGAAGACGGUACCUCUAGAAUAAGCCACGGCUAACUACGUGCCAGCAGCCGCGGUAAUACGUAGGAGGCAAGCGUUGUCCGGAUUUACUGGGUGUAAAGGGCGUGCAGCCGGGUCUGCAAGUCAGAUGUGAAAUCCAUGGGCUCAACCCAUGAACUGCAUUUGAAACUGUAGAUCUUGAGUGUCGGAGGGGCAAUCGGAAUUCCUAGUGUAGCGGUGAAAUGCGUAGAUAUUAGGAGGAACACCAGUGGCGAAGGCGGAUUGCUGGACGAUAACUGACGGUGAGGCGCGAAAGUGUGGGGAGCAAACAGGAUUAGAUACCCUGGUAGUCCACACUGUAAACGAUGAAUACUAGGUGUGCGGGGACUGACCCCCUGCGUGCCGCAGUAAACACAAUAAGUAUUCCACCUGGGGAGUACGAUCGCAAGGUUGCAACUCAAAUGAAUUGACG
Molecule: ribosomal RNA, 914 nt
Filed under: uncultured Bacillota bacterium
Lineage: Bacteria; Bacillati; Bacillota
Description: bacterial SSU rRNA
Rfam family: Bacterial small subunit ribosomal RNA
Source: RNAcentral